This 1104-nucleotide long non-coding RNA is filed under the name Homo sapiens (human). Its description in RNAcentral is "HSALNT0130732". The record is from RNAcentral. Lineage: Eukaryota; Metazoa; Chordata; Mammalia; Primates; Hominidae.
GGUUUGGGAAGAGACAAAGGCACAUGCUUAGAGGGUCUGGAGAAGGCGAGGAAGAAGGAAGGGAGCCAAGUAAAACAUGUGACUGACCAGGGGCUUUGGAGAAGACAAGCCCUGCAGGAAGGCACGCAUGUGGUCAUUCUGUCUGUAGCCUCCCAUUCCUCCCUGCUUUCCCCAGCUGCAUCUACCUGGAUCCUGAAUUUGAACCAAGUGGUCCAAACGGCCCGGUCACCUGAGCAACCCCUCUGCAGGAACCGCAGGCACAAUAAUGGAUAUGAAGGUGUGACAAAAUUGUUGGCAUCAGAUGAGGUAAAAGAUUUGUACAAAAACAAAAAAGCACAAAAACUGGAAGCAGUCUGGAGUCUGUCAACAGGAGAAUGGAUGAAUAAGGGAACUAUCUGAUUGUGGCCUAUUUGAUGGAAUAUUACUCUGCAAUCAAAAGGAACAGACUGAGACUGAUACACGCAGCAUGGAUGAGUCUUCAGGACAUUGUGUCAAGGCUGGCUACAUACUCUGUUGGGAAGAAGGCUCAAAAAUGAAUCCUCUCAAGCAGACCCGCUUUGGUUUCCACCCCUCUAUUCUGAGAACCCAAGCUCAACCCAUGUGUUCUGCCUUCAGGUAGAAAAUGUCAGAAUCAUAGGGAAGACUAAGCUGAAAAAAGAAUUUGGAGUUCCAAAGGAAUUCUGUGCCACCUGCCGUCCGGCAAUUCCCUUUGCCAGGUAAUGGCAUGACAGUAAAGACGCACUCUGUUCUGAAUAAGCAGAGAACCGGCUUGGCCUAGGACUUACGUUGAGGUGGGUAAUGUUCGAAAAGACCCAUUUGCUAGGGCAUCUCAGGGAAGGCACAGAAGCCUUUGCAGGCGAGGCUGCAGAGAGAAGAAAACGCACGGGAGACAGUCCUGAUUCCAAGGGGUUACAAUUGGUUGGGGAGGCAAGGCAGCCACAAAGAAAGCACAGCAUGUUUGGGCCAGGUGGGUGCUUCCUUAGGACAGCACUGCCUGUUUGGGAAACAGUUGUAGAAACAGAUGGGACAAUCCUUGUCCAUCGAGAUGGGGUCAGAGUGACUGCACGAAAAUAUGGCUACCCCGAGUUACCAUGGCUACCAACA